CCGGGCCUGGCUGCUGGGGACAGUUUGGGCCUUCACUUAAGAUGAACCUGCUGCUGAUUUUCCUGUUCAUGCUGGUGGCCCCUUUAGGUGUCCUCUCCCAAGUGCAGCUGAAGGAAACGGGCCCGGGAGCGGUGAAACCCGGGGAGUCCCUGACACUCACUUGUACCAUCUCCGGAGACUCGGUUUCUAGCACCAGCGCCACCUGGGCCUGGUUCCGGCAGCCCGCGGGGAAAGAGCCAGAACUGGUGGCACGCAUAUUGUAUAGAUCUAAUAGUUGGCACACUGACUAUGCCAGCUAUCUGCAGAGCCGAGUGACCAUCUCUGCAGACACCGCCAAGAACCAGUUCUCGCUGCAGCUCCGCUCGCUGACAGCUGCGGACACCGCCACCUAUUACUGUGCCAGAGACACACAGUGA
Non-coding RNA from Mauremys reevesii (Reeves's turtle), 416 nucleotides. The record is from the annotation of a RefSeq genome assembly. NCBI's taxonomy places the organism in Eukaryota, Metazoa, Chordata, Testudines, Geoemydidae.